This 497-nucleotide ribosomal RNA is filed under the name uncultured bacterium. RNAcentral describes it as "partial 16S ribosomal RNA". It matches the Rfam family "Bacterial small subunit ribosomal RNA", at positions 28 to 507 of the family's 1533-position model. The record is from RNAcentral.
GAUGAACGCUGGCGGCGUGCCUAAUACAUGCAAGUCGAGCGAACAGACGAGGAGCUUGCUCCUCUGACGUUAGCGGCGGACGGGUGUGUAACACGUGUAUAACCUCCCUAUAAGACGGGGAUAACUUCGGGAAACCGGAGCUAAUACCGGAUAAUAUAUUGAAGCACAGUGGUCGAUAGUGAGAUUCGGUUUUGCUGUCACGUCUCGAUGGAUCCGCGCCGCAUUGGCUAGUUGUUAAGGUAACGGCUUAUCAAGGGAAGGAGGCGUAGCCGACCUGAGAGGGUGAUCGGCCACAUGGGAACGGAGACACGGACCAGACUCCUACGGGAGGCAGCAGUAGGGAAUCUUCCGCAAUGGGCGAAAGCCUGACGGAGUAACGCCGCGUGAGUGAUGAAGGUCUUCGGAUCGUAAAACUCUGUUAUUAGGGAAGAACAAAUGUGUAAGUAACUAUGCACGUCUUGACGGUACCUAAUCAGAAAGCUACGGCUAACUACGUG